Molecule: ribosomal RNA, 231 nt
Filed under: uncultured bacterium
Lineage: Bacteria
Description: partial 16S ribosomal RNA
Rfam family: Bacterial small subunit ribosomal RNA
Source: RNAcentral
GUGAGUGGCAGACGGGUGAGUAACACGUGGGAACGUACCCUUCGGUACGGAAUAACUCAGGGAAACUUGAGCUAAUACCGUAUACGUCCGAGAGGAGAAAGAUUUAUCGCCGAUGGAUCGGCCCGCGUCUGAUUAGCUAGUUGGUGAGGUAAAAGCUCACCAAGGCGAUAAUCAAUAGCUGAUUUGAGAGGAUGAUCAGCCACACUGGGACUGAGAUACGGCCCAGACUCC